GUUACAAAGACAAGCAGCAGUUGAAAAGCUUUUUUAUGUGAAACUCUCUUUCAGACUACUCAACAGAUGAUGGUGGAAACCCAAUUUUUCCCACUGAUGGUCCAGGAGGUGUCGACCAAGGAGGCCUGAUAGCUGGCGCCGUCAUUGCAGCCAUUGUGAUUUUCGUCUUGAUCGUUGGACUGCUGUACUAUGUCUUCCGAGUCCGGGGGUAUAAACUGAGCGACUUAAGUCUUCCAGCGCGAACAGCCAGCCACGUUGACGCGCCCGCUUUCACCAACCCAAACUUUGCAGGAGAAACAUAAACCAUCAUUCAAGCUUUGUACAGUACAUCCAGUUUGAUACUUAAAAAAAAUAAUAAAUCAGCAAUAAUGCAGUUUUUAAGUCUACAGAGUUCUUAUAACUCUAUUAUAUGUAUUGUGAUACACUAAUGAAAAUCAAAUGUGUGAAAGGAUUAAACUUAAACGGCUGCACUUACACAUCUGAAGUGCAGCAGCUGUAAUGUUUACAGCACUUUGUGAUACAUGAUACAUGUCAGACAUGUUGUUAUUUAACAACCUUUACAACAAAAUACUAAACUGUGAUUCCAAUUUUCUUUGAGAA
Long non-coding RNA from Chelmon rostratus (copperband butterflyfish), 600 nucleotides. RefSeq lists it as uncharacterized. The transcript has 3 exons. NCBI's taxonomy places the organism in Eukaryota, Metazoa, Chordata, Actinopteri, Chaetodontiformes, Chaetodontidae. The record is from RefSeq and is a predicted model, not a curated record.